UGGCGGCGUGGAUAAGACAUGCAAGUCGAACGAGAGAAUUGCUAGCUUGCUAAUAAUUCUCUAGUGGCGCACGGGUGAGUAACACGUGAGUAACCUGCCCCCGAGAGCGGGAUAGCCCUGGGAAACUGGGAUUAAUACCGCAUAGUAUCGAAAGAUUAAAGCAGCAAUGCGCUUGGGGAUGGGCUCGCGGCCUAUUAGUUAGUUGGUGAGGUAACGGCUCACCAAGGCGAUGACGGGUAGCCGGUCUGAGAGGAUGUCCGGCCACACUGGAACUGAGACACGGUCCAGACACCUACGGGUGGCAGCAGUCGAGAACCAUUCACAAUGGGGGAAACCCUGAUGGUGUGACGCCGCGUGGGGGAAUGAAGGUCUUCGGAUUGUAAACCCCUGUCAUGUGGGAGCAAAUUAAAAAGAUAGUACCACAAGAGGAAGAGACGGCUAACUCUGUGCCAGCAGCCGCGGUAAUACAGAGGUCCCAAGCGUUGUUCGGAAUCACUGGGCGUAAAGCGUGCGUAGGCUGUUUCGUAAGUCGUGUGUGAAAGGCGCGGGCUCAACCCGCGGACGGCACAUGAUACUGCGAGACUAGAGUAAUGGAGGGGGAACCGGAAUUCACGGUGUAGCA
Molecule: ribosomal RNA, 622 nt
Filed under: Akkermansia muciniphila
Lineage: Bacteria; Pseudomonadati; Verrucomicrobiota; Verrucomicrobiia; Verrucomicrobiales; Akkermansiaceae
Description: bacterial SSU rRNA
Rfam family: Bacterial small subunit ribosomal RNA
Source: RNAcentral